RNAcentral lists this transfer RNA (74 nucleotides) under bioreactor metagenome. Its description in RNAcentral is "tRNA-Thr". It matches the Rfam family "tRNA". From Rfam's summary of the family: Transfer RNA (tRNA) molecules are approximately 80 nucleotides in length. Their secondary structure includes four short double-helical elements and three loops (D, anti-codon, and T loops). Further hydrogen bonds mediate the characteristic L-shaped molecular structure. tRNAs have two regions of fundamental functional importance: the anti-codon, which is responsible for specific mRNA codon recognition, and the 3' end, to which the tRNAs corresponding amino acid is attached (by aminoacyl-tRNA synthetases). tRNAs cope with the degeneracy of the genetic code in two manners: having more than one tRNA (with a specific anti-codon) for a particular amino acid; and 'wobble' base-pairing, i.e. permitting non-standard base-pairing at the 3rd anti-codon position. The record is from RNAcentral.
GCCACAAUAGCUCAGUUGGUAGAGUAACGCGUUCGUAACGCGUCGGUCGCGAGUUCGACUCUCGCUUGUGGCUC